RNAcentral lists this ribosomal RNA (98 nucleotides) under Microtus ochrogaster (prairie vole). The record is from RNAcentral. Lineage: Eukaryota; Metazoa; Chordata; Mammalia; Rodentia; Cricetidae.
AUCUACAGUCAUAUCACACCAAUUGUGUUCCAUCUUGACUGAUCUUGGAAGCUAAGAAGGGUUGGGCCUGGUUAUUAUAUGUUAGGAGACAGUUGAUG